GCUGGGCAUGGUGGCGUGUGCCUGUAGUUCCAGCUACUUGGGUGGCUGAGGUGGGAGAAUCACUUGAGCCCGGGAGGUCAAGGCUGCAGUGAGCCGUGACUGUACCACUGCACUCCAGCCUGGGUGACAGAGUGAGAACCCAACUCAA
This is a non-coding RNA of Gorilla gorilla gorilla (western lowland gorilla), 148 nucleotides long. It matches the Rfam family "Metazoan signal recognition particle RNA". From Rfam's summary of the family: The signal recognition particle (SRP) is a universally conserved ribonucleoprotein. It is involved in the co-translational targeting of proteins to membranes. NCBI's taxonomy places the organism in Eukaryota, Metazoa, Chordata, Mammalia, Primates, Hominidae. The record is from Rfam.